RNAcentral lists this long non-coding RNA (1431 nucleotides) under Equus caballus (horse). Its description in RNAcentral is "lncRNA (ENSECAG00000048139.1)". The record is from RNAcentral. Lineage: Eukaryota; Metazoa; Chordata; Mammalia; Perissodactyla; Equidae.
CAAAACUGGCAAAAAAAAAAUCCAAAUCCAGGCCACCAAAGUGGAGCGCACAAACUUAACUGCUACACCCCCAGGGUGGCUCCUCAAUUUCCUGGUUUUGAUACCAUACUAAGGUUACACAAAAUGUAACCAUUGGGAGAAACUGGGUGAAGGGUACACAGGAGCUCUCUGUAUUGUCUUUGCAGCUUCCUGUGAAUCUAUAACUAUUUCAAAAUAAAAAGUUUAAAAAAAUAAGACCCCCAGGUGAUUUGUAUGCACACAAAUUUUUGAGAAAUACUGACUCAGUUUGUUAACUGUCACAAGUAUUAAAUAAGCUGAAAUAGAAUUAUGAUGUGCUCAGAUUGUUAGUUAACAAGCUAGUCACCUGGCAAGCUUAAAAAAAAGUCCAGGUUCCAGACUAACUCAGACUCUGACACAAUGAUCCUCAGAUUCUGGGGCCUGAGCUUCUGCACUUCUCACAAGAUCUCAGGUGAAUAGCAAAGACCAACCCCUGUCAAGAAGGGAAUGCCACAAGAUUGAAAAGAUGUGGUACCACAUGAGUAGGUGCUUUUGUUAACAUGUAUAAGAAAACUAGUCACUAAUCUACUUGUUCUCUUUUUUAUCUCCUCACCAAAAUAGUAGUGGCAACUGUAAAUAGUGGAAGCAUUAUGAGGCUCCAAGUCGUUCUGAAAAAUGAAAUAGAUUUGCAAAUACUAGCAAAUAAAAUCUUCACUUACAAAUAUUUCCAUAAUCACCAAGUCCAUCUACAUUGGGAGGAAGGGUCCAGAAGACAUUAAAAUAGGCUUCACAGCUAUAGAAGAGAGCCAUGGAGAGAAAAGUCUAUAGAAUUCUAGACUGGAUUUCAUUUUUCCUUGGAAUGUUGAAGCCAUUGCUUUAUUGUGGUCCAGCUUUCCUUUCCAUCAUAUGUGAUCUGUUCCCCUCCCUACCCCUAGAGUUUUAGAAUCUUCUCUUUCACCCUGACAUUCUAAAAUCUCGCAACGCUUUGUCUUUGUGUGGGAUUUUUUUUCAUUCGUUUUGCUGGACACUCAGUGGAUGCUUUCAAUCUGGAGACUCAGGCAUUUCCAUUCUGAGAAGUUUUCUUGUACUUUUUUCCUUGAUUAGUUCCUCCUCUCUUUUCUAUGUUCUGUCUUUUUAGAACGCCUUUAUUUGAACAUGGGACCUGCUCAAAUGGUCCUAUUUCCUUAUAUUUCUCUCUUUUUUUUUCUACUUUGAAGAUGUCUUCAACUUUAAUUUACAAAGCUUCUAUUAAUUUUUUAGUUUAGCUUAUGCAUUUUUAAUUUCCAAAAACUAUUCAUUGACUGCUGAAUAUUCACUUUUGGAGCAUCCUUUUCUUAUUUCUUGGAUUCAAUAUCAUCUUCUGCUCCUUGGAUUGUCUCUUAUCUUCUAAAUUUUUUAAUGUUUGUUUUAUUUCCCUUACAUGUUAAAUGCUUU